Molecule: long non-coding RNA, 616 nt
Organism: Humulus lupulus (European hop)
Lineage: Eukaryota; Viridiplantae; Streptophyta; Magnoliopsida; Rosales; Cannabaceae
Exons: 3
Source: RefSeq, a predicted model, not a curated record
UAUGUGUUUUACAUUAGAUUGUGUUGUUUCAUUAGUUCACAUUCUCUCUGUUCUUGUUGUUUCUCCUAAUCUUGCUUGCUGUUUUGAACUUGUGUAUAUUCUUAGUUUGUUAAUUUUCACUAUCUUUAUAAGAAAUUUAACCAAAAGAUCUUAGUUAAACUAGAUUUUUUAUAUUUAGAUUUGAUUUAUACAUGUCUCUAAUGUUUUUUGCAGCCACAUGUUGACUUUGGAUUAAAAGUACUUGGUGCAAAUGCUAUGUCCAUUCCUGGCCUAUAUGGGAAAUGAUUAAAGAUCAAGUUGCAAACAUGUAUUUAUGGCUCAAAUCUCUAGAAGUACAAAGUAUGGAUCCAACAAAGUAACGAUCUGAGCCCAAGGUAAGGCAUCUAGGACACUUAGCUGGUGGUGCUUUAACAAAUGCAUUGGGUGCUGGAAGAAAAUGGUAAGCAAUAUAAAUCAAUUAGUGAAGGGUUCAACUCUGUUUAUUUUAGUCUAAACAAUUAUUGUUCCAAUGUUGAAGAGUCAUGCCAAUUCAACAACAUUAUGGGAAAGAAUCUGCAGGCAUAAGAAACCUGUUGUAGAACCUAGACAAUCUUCUUUAUUUUCUGAGUCACUUGAG